This 382-nucleotide ribosomal RNA is filed under the name uncultured bacterium. Its description in RNAcentral is "bacterial SSU rRNA". It matches the Rfam family "Bacterial small subunit ribosomal RNA", at positions 438 to 793 of the family's 1533-position model. The record is from RNAcentral.
AGGAGGAAGGUAGUGUAGUUAACACCUGCAUUAUUGUACGUUACCUACAGAAGAAGACACCGGCUAACUCCGUCGCCAGCAGCCGCGGUAAUACGGGAGGGUGCGAGCGUUAAGUCGGAAUUACUGGGACGUAAAGCGCAUGCAGGCGGCCUGUUAAGUCAGAUGUAGAAAGGCCCGGGGACCGUUAACCCGUACCGGUAAAGUUGCUAUUUAGUAAACGUAGGCGAGGCUAGAGUCUUGUAGAGGGGGUAGGAAUUUCAGGUGUAGCGGUGAAAUGCGUAGAGAUCUGAAGGAAUACCAGUGGCGAAGGCGGCCCCCUGGACAAAGACUGACGCUCAGAUGCGAAAGCGUGGGGAGCAAACAGGAUUAGAUACCCUGGUAG